This 595-nucleotide ribosomal RNA is filed under the name Symbiodinium sp. clade B. Its description in RNAcentral is "eukaryotic LSU rRNA". It matches the Rfam family "Eukaryotic large subunit ribosomal RNA", at positions 83 to 671 of the family's 3401-position model. Lineage: Eukaryota; Dinophyceae; Suessiales; Symbiodiniaceae. The record is from RNAcentral.
GUAAUGGCGAAUGAACAGGGAUGAGCUCAGGCUGGAAACCGAUACAUCUGUGUCGGGCUGUAGCCUGCAGGCAUAGCGCUAUCGGCGGCUCGAGCGCAAGCCUCUUGGAAUAGAGCGUGUGCCCGGGUGAGAAUCCUGCAUUUCGCUCGAUGUCCGCUGUCCACAGUGCUUGUCCUGAGAGUCACGCUCCUCGGAAUUGGAGCGUAAAUCAGGUGGUAAGUUUCAUCCAAAGCUAAAUAGAAGCUCGAGACCAAUAGCAAACAAGUACCAUGAGGGAAAGAUGAAAAGGACUUUGGAAAGAGAGCUAAAAGUGUUUGAAAUUGCUGAGAGCGAAGCGAACGGAGCCACAUGUCGUUCUGAGAUUGCUGUGGGUCUUUGUGAGCCUUGAGCAUGUAAGCGCGAGCUGACUGCUUAUGUGUGAGCAUUUACCCGCAGUGUUUCUCAGCAUGCGAGUCAUUAGCCACAUUUGUUUGAGGAUGGCCUUCAGCUCACAUGGUACACUUGUUAGUGUUCCUCUGUGCGGUGUGGGACUCAGACAGGUGUGGCUUGUUGACCCAGUGGUUUUUUUCGACCCGUCUUGAAACACGGACCAAGG